Molecule: ribosomal RNA, 199 nt
Filed under: uncultured bacterium
Lineage: Bacteria
Description: partial 16S ribosomal RNA
Rfam family: Bacterial small subunit ribosomal RNA
Source: RNAcentral
ACGCUCGACACCUACGGAGGCAGCAGUCGGGAAUAUUGCGCAAUGGAGGAAACUCUGACGCAGUGACGCCGCGUGCAGGAAGAAGGUUUUCGGAUUGUAAACUGCUUUAGACAGGGAAGAAAGGAAUGACAGUACCUGUAGAAUAAGCUCCGGCUAACUACGUGCAGCAGCCGCGGUAAUCUGAGCGGGCUGGCAAGGC